This 73-nucleotide transfer RNA is filed under the name Streptomyces sp. 891-h. RNAcentral describes it as "tRNA-Asn". It matches the Rfam family "tRNA". From Rfam's summary of the family: Transfer RNA (tRNA) molecules are approximately 80 nucleotides in length. Their secondary structure includes four short double-helical elements and three loops (D, anti-codon, and T loops). Further hydrogen bonds mediate the characteristic L-shaped molecular structure. tRNAs have two regions of fundamental functional importance: the anti-codon, which is responsible for specific mRNA codon recognition, and the 3' end, to which the tRNAs corresponding amino acid is attached (by aminoacyl-tRNA synthetases). tRNAs cope with the degeneracy of the genetic code in two manners: having more than one tRNA (with a specific anti-codon) for a particular amino acid; and 'wobble' base-pairing, i.e. permitting non-standard base-pairing at the 3rd anti-codon position. The record is from RNAcentral. Lineage: Bacteria; Bacillati; Actinomycetota; Actinomycetes; Kitasatosporales; Streptomycetaceae.
UCCCGUGUAGCUCAAUCGGCAGAGCAGUCGGCUGUUAACCGGCAGGUUACUGGUUCGAGUCCAGUCGCGGGAG